CACAGAAACUGGGAGGACUAAGGUUUUCUGAGAUAUGAUCAAAAGGAAGGGAUCAUUUUCCAAUUUUGAUUGUGAGGAGACUGGUGAAAACCAGUUCCAGGGUAGUGUGCCUUUGUGACAUAACUGACAACAUUUCACUCCAGAGACAAAAGCCUGGGGACAGAAGAAGAGAAAGGAGAGAAGGGCUGGAGGAAAUGUCUGAAUCACAGUCUUCAAUGUGGAAACAUGGGAAGCCUAAGUCACCUUUACCAAGGAAUCCCUUCUGUGGAAAGUCUGGAAACUUUACAGUGUUAUUUGCUAUACUGGCUGAGGUAUUUUUGUUCCAUUAAAAACAGAUGCUCUUCCUGA
Passer domesticus (house sparrow) is the source of this 348-nucleotide long non-coding RNA. RefSeq lists it as uncharacterized. The transcript is spliced from 3 exons. The record is from RefSeq and is a predicted model, not a curated record. NCBI's taxonomy places the organism in Eukaryota, Metazoa, Chordata, Aves, Passeriformes, Passeridae.